RNAcentral lists this ribosomal RNA (450 nucleotides) under uncultured bacterium. RNAcentral describes it as "partial 16S ribosomal RNA". It matches the Rfam family "Bacterial small subunit ribosomal RNA", at positions 338 to 795 of the family's 1533-position model. The record is from RNAcentral.
CCUACGGGGGGCUGCAGUGGGGAAUAUUGGGCAAUGGGCGAAAGCCUGACCCAGCGACGCCGCGUGGGGGAUGAAGGUCUUCGGAUCGUAAACCUCUGUCAGGAGGGGCGAACGUUUCAGGGUUAAUAACCCUGAAAUCUGACGGUACCUCCAAAGGAAGCCCCGGCUAACUCCGUGCCAGCAGCCGCGGUAAUACGGAGGGGGCAUGCGUUAUUCGGAAUUACUGGAGGUAAAGCGCUCGGUGGCAGGUGAAAUCCCUCGGCUUAACCGGGGAACGGCCUGCCAAACUGUCGCGCUUGAGGCUGGGAGGGGAGAGCGGAAUUCCUGGUGUAGCGGUGAAAUGCGUAGAUACCAGGAGGAACACCGGUGGCGAAGGCGGCUCUCUGGACCAGUUCUGACACUCAUGCGCGAAAGCGUGGGUAGCAAACAGGAUUAGAUACCCCAGUAGUC